GAAACUUGCCUGAUUCACCGUCGGAAACUGCUGAGGGAAAUUAGUGUCUGAGAAAGAAAAAUCAGGAUUAGGAAACUGAUUCGAUUCAGCUGAAAACUCGGAGAGAUUAUGGAACUGAGUCAGCGAUUCGCUGUGGGUGAGAGGAUUCGUUUUUGAAAGCGAAGCAGAAUCGUCGUGCAAGCCAAGUUCUCUCAUCAAAGAAUCCCAAUCUUCAAAGUUACUCAGAACAUGAUCUCCUAAUUGAAGAGGAUCUUCAC
Molecule: unclassified non-coding RNA, 257 nt
Filed under: Hevea brasiliensis (rubber tree)
Lineage: Eukaryota; Viridiplantae; Streptophyta; Magnoliopsida; Malpighiales; Euphorbiaceae
Source: RNAcentral